AUACGUAGGGGGCGAGCGUUGUCCGGAAUUACUGGGCGUAAAGGGUGCGUAGGCGGGAUAGCAAGUCAGAUGUGAAAUACCCGGGCUUAACUCGGGGGGUGCAUUUGAAACUGCUGUUCUUGAGUGCAGGAGAGGCAAGUGGAAUUCCCAGUGUAGCGGUGAAAUGCGUAGAUAUUAGGAGGAACACCGGUGGCGAAGGCGACUUGCUGGACUGUAACUGACGCUGAGGCGCGAAAGUGUGGGGAGCAAACAGGAUUAGAUACCCUGGUAGUCCACACUGUAAACGAUGAAUGCUAGGUGUAGGGGGUAUCGACCCCUUCUGUGCCGCAGUCAACACAAUAAGCAUUCCGCCUGGGGAGUACGGCCGCAAGGUUGAAACUCAAAGGAAUUGACGGGG
RNAcentral lists this ribosomal RNA (397 nucleotides) under uncultured bacterium. RNAcentral describes it as "partial 16S ribosomal RNA". It matches the Rfam family "Bacterial small subunit ribosomal RNA", at positions 523 to 918 of the family's 1533-position model. The record is from RNAcentral.